This 253-nucleotide ribosomal RNA is filed under the name uncultured bacterium. Its description in RNAcentral is "partial 16S ribosomal RNA". It matches the Rfam family "Bacterial small subunit ribosomal RNA", at positions 524 to 776 of the family's 1533-position model. The record is from RNAcentral.
UACGUAGGGGGCAAGCGUUAUCCGGAUUUACUGGGUGUAAAGGGAGCGUAGACGGCCAGACAAGUCUGAAGUGAAAAUCCAGCGCUUAACGUUGGAAGUGCUUUGGAAACUGCCGGGCUAGAGUGCAGGAGGGGCAGGCGGAAUUCCUAGUGUAGCGGUGAAAUGCGUAGAUAUUAGGAGGAACACCAGUGGCGAAGGCGGCUUACUGGACGAUCACUGACGCUGAGGCUCGAAAGCGUGGGGAGCAAACAGG